AAGUCGUAACAAGGUUUCCGUAGGUGAACCUGCGGAAGGAUCAUUACCAAGUAUCCAAUUUUCUAUUGGUUUAACCACCAAUAUACACAUGUGCACUGUAACUGUCUCUGACGGUGGCUGCGUGGGCUUGUAUACGAGCUAUUAAUCAAAGAGGUUACACUUUGGUUGAUCGCUGGGUGCAGGUUGCUAUGUAAAUACCGUCAGAUUUUUUAUACUUUAAUUUGAUUUGAUAAAGUCGUAUAUCUAUUCAUAAAAUUGAAUUAAAUAUCUAUGACAACUUUUGACAACGGAUCUCUUGGUUCUC
Molecule: unclassified non-coding RNA, 304 nt
Filed under: fungal sp.
Lineage: Eukaryota; Fungi
Description: partial internal transcribed spacer region
Rfam family: Eukaryotic small subunit ribosomal RNA (bases 1-46)
Source: RNAcentral